AUACGGAAGGUGCAAGCGUUAAUCGGAAUCACUGGGCGUAAAGCGCACGUAGGCUGUGUGGUAAGUCAGGGGUGAAAUCCCGCAGCUCGACUGCGGAAUUGCACUUGAUACUGCAUUGCUUGAGUUCGGGAGAGGGUAGUGGAAUUCCAGGUGUAGGAGUGAAAUCCGUAGAGAUCUGGAGGAACACCAGUGGCGAAGGCGACUACCUGGACCGAUACUGACACUGAGGAGCGAAAGCGUGGGGAGC
This 247-nucleotide ribosomal RNA is filed under the name uncultured bacterium. Its description in RNAcentral is "partial 16S ribosomal RNA". It matches the Rfam family "Bacterial small subunit ribosomal RNA", at positions 523 to 769 of the family's 1533-position model. The record is from RNAcentral.